AAAGCCUACUGGGGGUGCCUUCGGGCUGAGAGAGGAUUGUCCUUAACUCCAACGACCUGAUCCGGAUUAUGCCGGCGGAGGGAAGUAGCAAUCACUGACG
This 100-nucleotide non-coding RNA is filed under the name Domibacillus iocasae. RNAcentral describes it as "TPP sequence". It matches the Rfam family "TPP riboswitch aptamer (THI element)". Rfam says of the family: Vitamin B(1) in its active form thiamin pyrophosphate (TPP) is an essential coenzyme that is synthesised by coupling of pyrimidine and thiazole moieties in bacteria. The previously detected thiamin-regulatory element, thi box was extended, resulting in a new, highly conserved RNA secondary structure, the THI element, which is widely distributed in eubacteria and also occurs in some archaea. Lineage: Bacteria; Bacillati; Bacillota; Bacilli; Caryophanales; Bacillaceae. The record is from Rfam by way of RNAcentral.